Molecule: transfer RNA, 67 nt
Filed under: bovine gut metagenome
Rfam family: tRNA
About the family: Transfer RNA (tRNA) molecules are approximately 80 nucleotides in length.
Source: RNAcentral
GAGUAUAGCUCAGUUGGUAGAGCGUCUGGUUCCCAUCCAGAAGGUCGCGAGUUCGAACCUCGUUACU